AGGUUAUCUCUGCUGCUUCAUAUGGUUGUUUACCUGUCCGUAGCCAGAUGUUCUGGACAGCAAAAAGCCACAGUGGGCUAGAGACUGAGGAAGAGAGAAAAGGAUCAGAAGAAAAUGCCAGGAGAAUAGGGAGAUAACAGUGCUCAACUGUGACUGUCAUCCAGGAGAAGAAAGAGAAAGGUGCAGCCCAGACCAACAGCAGAACAAUACUCAAUAUGCAAAUCCAUGCGUUUCCUAAAAAGCCACUUCAGAAU
Molecule: long non-coding RNA, 254 nt
Filed under: Gallus gallus (chicken)
Lineage: Eukaryota; Metazoa; Chordata; Aves; Galliformes; Phasianidae
Source: RNAcentral